This 2631-nucleotide long non-coding RNA is filed under the name Pan troglodytes (chimpanzee). RNAcentral's name for it is "lincRNA". The record is from RNAcentral. Lineage: Eukaryota; Metazoa; Chordata; Mammalia; Primates; Hominidae.
GUUGAAUUUCAUUUUGCUGACUUCAUCUCAUCCUGUGUGUUCCAGUGCUGGCAGACUCUGUGGGUGAAUCCAGUUUUUUGAGAGGGAAAAAAAAUCUGUGAAGAUAUGAGCAGAGGCAGUUGGACCCCUCUGCUACAGGUCCACUGGAGUUUGCUGGAGAUCCACUCCAGAUCCUGUUUGCCUGGGUAUCACCAGCGGAGGCUGCAGAACAGCAAAGAUUGCUGCCUGUUCCUUCCUCUAGAAGCUUCAUCCCAGAGGGGUACCCGCCAAACGCCAGCCAGAGCUCUCCUGUAUGAGGUCCUUGUGGUGAAGAACUGGAUUACAUGGUGGACUGUUCCUGAACAGAGACCUAUCUGGAAUGAAGAAGCAGAGAUCAUGCAAGGUGUUUCCAUCCAAAAGUAGGCGUCUCAUGUCAUCUGCUCUGGCCAGUAUUUAACCUUGAGAAAAGAAGAAGUGUAGAGAUGAUGUACUUGCCUGAGGGAUGGAUUAAAAAGUCUUUGGUCUUCUCUGAACGGUACUACUGAAUUUAUCCUCAUCACCAUCAUCAUUGUCAUUGUCAUCAUCAUCAUGAAAACAGGAGCAGAGAGAGGAAUGCUAUGAAGCUAUUAUUGUUCAAAAAAGACCUGGAGACAGUGGAUUGAAAAUCUCACAGCCAAAACGCAGUCUGGUGACUACCGUCUCUGGCUCUCAUUUGCUGACUUUGGAAGUUUUAAAAGGAACUGCGGAAUUUGUUUUCACUCAGCGUGGUACACUGGAUGAGCUGUUGCUGUCUCUAGUUUGUCCUCUUAAAUGUCACCUCCAGAAGCUGAUUAGAAAGGCUGAAAUGACCACCAUCCAAAAGACCCAGGGGCAUAUUUCAUGGUUUUAGUCUAUUUGAAAGGUUGUUAGAGUAGGUUAGGAAAGACCAAGGCCUCUAGCUCAAGGUGGCCAGCUCAUGCUGUGUAUGGACUGUACACUAUCAUGUUGUAGGCCACUAAUUUCUCAUGCCAAUCCCUCCAAGUGCCACUGGUUUCAUAUUUCUAGGCCUUUACAUGGCCCAUUCCUUCUGUUUGGAAAGUCCUUGAUGCUCAUUUUUACUUUGGCCCACCAAGCCCUGAGUGCACUGAUCUUUGCUUCCCUCCCCAGCAGCAUAUCACAACCUCUCUCCUUUUCUAAUUCGCUUUGUUUGACACCAAGCUCUUUCUGCAGUUUUUAAAACAGACUUAGCCAUUUUCUGCUUCAGGGCCUUUGCACACCCACGUCCCUCUGUCUGGAACUCUCGUACCUGGCUUUUCACGUGGUUCAUUCCUUCUUAUUGUUCAGAAACAAUCUAAUAACCUCCUCAGCAAGGACUUUCUUGAUCUCUAACGGGCCCCCUUCUUGUUCUCCCUAUCUUGGUAUCCUUCCUAGCCCUUCACAUUUUGUAAAUAUUUGUUUACCUAUUUAUUGCCUGACUUCUAACUAACUAUAAGGGCCAGUGAGACAGGAACUGUCUUAGUCUGUUUUGUGUUGCUAUAAAAGAACACCACUGAGUGGGUAAUUUAUAAAGAAAAGAAAUGCAUUUCUUACAAUUCUGGUGGAUGAGAAGUCCAAGGUUGAGGAGUCUACAUCUGGUGAGGAUUUUCAUGCUGCGUGAUCCCAUGGCAGAAGGCAGAAGGAUCUAGGUUGGUGUCUGCCUGGGUGCUGUACUGUGUCCUGGGCCUACCUCCACAUGCUGCAUCAUGGUGCCUGUUGGCAGUCCCUUUCUUCAAGAAGAUGGAACUGGAAGGGUUGGGCCAGGACAUUGGGUUGAUGGAUCAAAAUAUGCUUUGAUGGAGCUAAAUCCCAGGUCUCUUGAAAAAAGAGCAAUUUUGGAUCUGAAAGGCAGCUUUGAUGCCUUUGAAUUCCUUGCAGAUUGUGCCUUUUAGUACUCUGUACAACACCAGCUGCAUGUGGGCUACAAGAAAGAGACACGGUUGGGGGCAGUGGCUCAUGCCUGUAAUACCAGCACUUUGGGAGCCUGAGGGCAGUGGAUCACCUGAGACGGAGUCUCUCUCCGUCACCAGGUUGGAGUGCAAUGGCAUGAUCUCGACUCAUUGCAACCUUCGCCUCCCAGGUUCAAGCAAUUCUCCUGCCUCAGCAUCCUGAGUAGCUGGGACUACAGGCUGGAGUGCAGUGGCACGAUCUAGGUUCACUGCAAGCUCCGACUCCCAGGUUCAUGCCAUUCUCCUGCUUCAGCCUCCCAAGUAGUUGGGACUACAGAGUCUAGCUCUGUCACCCAGGCUGGAGUGCAGUGACACAUUCUCAGCUCACCGCAACCUCUGCCUCCCAGUAGAGACAGGGUUUGCCGUGUUGGCCAGGCUGGUCUCAAACUCCUUACCUCAAGUGAGCUGCCUGCCUUGGCCUCCCAAAGUGCUAGGAUUACAGCUCUAACCUUGGUCCAGACACCAGCUGUAUAGACUAUCAAAGCUGCUGUCAUUUAGAGGGGAAUAGCUCCUCAUUAGGCCACAGAUGCACCGCGGACCUGUUCUUCCUUUUGGGUUGGCAGGCGCAAAGCCCCAUUAGCAGUAAUGUGCACCAGUGGGACUCCAGGGAGAGGAAGAAAGCUGAAAGGGCUGGAGUUCCUGGUCCAAUUUUUAAAGAAAAGAAGAGAAUAAAAGGCCCAUAAAACUC